This 86-nucleotide transfer RNA is filed under the name Inquilinus sp. RNAcentral describes it as "tRNA-Leu". It matches the Rfam family "tRNA". Rfam says of the family: Transfer RNA (tRNA) molecules are approximately 80 nucleotides in length. The record is from RNAcentral. Lineage: Bacteria; Pseudomonadati; Pseudomonadota; Alphaproteobacteria; Rhodospirillales; Rhodospirillaceae.
GCGGGCGUGGCGGAAUUGGUAGACGCAAGCGACUUAAAAUCGCUUGGGCUUGUCCCGUGCCGGUUCGAGUCCGGCCGCCCGCACCA